CCUACGGGAGGCUGCAGUGGGGAAUAUUGGACAAUGGGCGAAAGCCUGAUCCAGCCAUGCCGCGUGUGUGAAGAAGGCCUUCGGGUUGUAAAGCACUUUCAGUGGGGAAGAAAGCCUUGGGGCUAAUACCCUCGAGGAAGGACAUCACCCACAGAAGAAGCACCGGCUAACUCCGUGCCAGCAGCCGCGGUAAUACGGAGGGUGCGAGCGUUAAUCGGAAUUACUGGGCGUAAAGCGCGCGUAGGCGGUCUGAUAAGCCGGUUGUGAAAGCCCCGGGCUCAACCUGGGAACGGCAUCCGGAACUGUCAGGCUAGGGUGCAGGAGAGGAAGGUAGAAUUCCCGGUGUAGCGGUGAAAUGCGUAGAGAUCGGGAGGAAUACCAGUGGCGAAGGCGGCCUUCUGGACUGACACUGACGCUGAGGUGCGAAAGCGUGGGUAGCAAACAGGAUUAGAUCCCGGGUAGUC
This 464-nucleotide ribosomal RNA is filed under the name Vreelandella stevensii. RNAcentral's name for it is "partial 16S ribosomal RNA". It matches the Rfam family "Bacterial small subunit ribosomal RNA", at positions 338 to 795 of the family's 1533-position model. The record is from RNAcentral. Lineage: Bacteria; Pseudomonadati; Pseudomonadota; Gammaproteobacteria; Oceanospirillales; Halomonadaceae.